This 369-nucleotide long non-coding RNA is filed under the name Androctonus crassicauda. The record is from RNAcentral. Lineage: Eukaryota; Metazoa; Arthropoda; Arachnida; Scorpiones; Buthidae.
CUUCAAUUAUGUUCUCACUGUAAAUGCAUGUGGAAAUCAGGGGGUGCUCAUUUGGAUGUGCAUAAGAUAUCAAGAGUUUCCUUUCCUGCGCAUGACGUCAUAGCGGAGGGAAAGAAGAUUGUGUGUGUUUUUGACUAUUUAAGAGUUGCUGGAGAACGAUUGCUUAUUUCGAGUGCAAUUUCAUUUUUUUCAAAUAUAAUAUAUUUUCUUGCAAGGAAAUCAUAUUCUUAAAGACAUUGUAUGCUUUUUCAUAGCGUUUUUUCUUUGUAUGAAGGCGAUAUAAGCUAGAAUCAUUGGGAUCACGUAUAUCCAAAACUGACUUGAAUUUGUCAAAUCAUAGACCCACCUGGAUUCAAUUUAUAACAAAUG